GCGGCGUGCUUAACACAUGCAAGUCGAACGGUGAAGCCAAGCUUGCUUGGUGGAUCAGUGGCGAACGGGUGAGUAACACGUGAGCAACCUGCCCUGGACUCUGGGAUAAGCGCUGGAAACGGCGUCUAAUACUGGAUAUGUGACGUGAUCGCAUGGUCGUGUUUGGAAAGAUUUUUCGGUCUGGGAUGGGCUCGCGGCCUAUCAGCUUGUUGGUGAGGUAAUGGCUCACCAAGGCGUCGACGGGUAGCCGGCCUGAGAGGGUGACCGGCCACACUGGGACUGAGACACGGCCCAGACUCCUACGGGAGGCAGCAGUGGGGAAUAUUGCACAAUGGGCGGAAGCCUGAUGCAGCAACGCCGCGUGAGGGAUGACGGCCUUCGGGUUGUAAACCUCUUUUAGCAGGGAAGAAGCGAAAGUGACGGUACCUGCAGAAAAAGCGCCGGCUAACUACGUGCCAGCAGCCGCGGUAAUACGUAGGGCGCAAGCGUUAUCCGGAAUUAUUGGGCGUAAAGAGCUCGUAGGCGGUUUGUCGCGUCUGCUGUGAAAUCCCGAGGCUCAACCUCGGGCCUGCAGUGGGUACGGGCAGACUAGAGUGCGGUAGGGGAGAUUGGAAUUCCUGGUGUAGCGGUGGAAUGCGCAGAUAUCAGGAGGAACACCGAUGGCGAAGGCAGAUCUCUGGGCCGUAACUGACGCUGAGGAGCGAAAGGGUGGGGAGCAAACAGGCUUAGAUACCCUGGUAGUCCACCCCGUAAACGUUGGGAACUAGUUGUGGGGACCAUUCCACGGUUUCCGUGACGCAGCUAACGCAUUAAGUUCCCCGCCUGGGGAGUACGGCCGCAAGGCUAAAACUCAAAGGAAUUGACGGGGACCCGCACAAGCGGCGGAGCAUGCGGAUUAAUUCGAUGCAACGCGAAGAACCUUACCAAGGCUUGACAUAUACGAGAACGGGCCAGAAAUGGUC
This 962-nucleotide ribosomal RNA is filed under the name Microbacterium testaceum. Its description in RNAcentral is "bacterial SSU rRNA". It matches the Rfam family "Bacterial small subunit ribosomal RNA", at positions 39 to 1011 of the family's 1533-position model. The record is from RNAcentral. Lineage: Bacteria; Bacillati; Actinomycetota; Actinomycetes; Micrococcales; Microbacteriaceae.